RNAcentral lists this ribosomal RNA (406 nucleotides) under uncultured bacterium. RNAcentral's name for it is "partial 16S ribosomal RNA". It matches the Rfam family "Bacterial small subunit ribosomal RNA", at positions 30 to 526 of the family's 1533-position model. The record is from RNAcentral.
AUUGAACGCUGGCGGCAGGCCUAACACAUGCAAGUCGAACGAGUGGCGGACGGGUGAGUAAUGUCUGGGAAAGUGCCCGUUGGCGGGGGAUAACCACUGGAAACGGUAGCUAACACCGCAACCUACCGGACGUGCCCAGAUGGGUUAAGCUAGUAGGUGGGGUAACGGCUCCCCUAGGCGACGAUCCCUAGCUGGUCUGAGAGGAUGACCAGCCACACUGGAACUGAGACACGGUCCAGACUCCUACGGGAGGCAGCAGUGGGGAAUAUUGCACAAUGGGCGCAAGCCUGAUGCAGCCAUGCCGCGUGUAUGAAGAAGGCCUUCGGGUUGUAAAGUACUUUCAGCGAGGAGGCGUUACUCGCAGAAGAAGCACCGGCUAACUCCGUGCCAGCCGCCGCGGUAAUAC